This 492-nucleotide ribosomal RNA is filed under the name uncultured bacterium. Its description in RNAcentral is "partial 16S ribosomal RNA". It matches the Rfam family "Bacterial small subunit ribosomal RNA", at positions 29 to 507 of the family's 1533-position model. The record is from RNAcentral.
AGUGAACGCUGACGGUAGGCCUAACACAUGCAAGUCGAACGGCAGCACAGUAAGAGCUUGCUCUUACGGGUGGCGAGUGGCGGACGGGUGAGGAAUACAUCGGAAUCUACUUUUUCGUGGGGGAUAACGUAGGGAAACUUACGCUAAUACCGCAUACGACCUACGGGUGAAAGCAGGGGAUCUUCGGACCUUGCGCGAUUGAAUGAGCCGAUGUCGGAUUAGCUAGUUGGCGGGGUAAAGGCCCACCAAGGCGACGAUCCGUAGCUGGUCUGAGAGGAUGAUCAGCCACACUGGAACUGAGACACGGUCCAGACUCCUACGGGAGGCAGCAGUGGGGAAUAUUGGACAAUGGGCGCGAGCCUGAUCCAGCCAUACCGCGUGGGUGAAGAAGGCCUUCGGGUUGUAAAGCCCUUUUGUUGGGAAAGAAAAGCAGCAGGUUAAUACCCCGCUGUUCUGACGGUACCCAAAGAAUAAGCACCGGCUAACUUCGUG